This 3369-nucleotide ribosomal RNA is filed under the name Withiidae sp. JA-2011. RNAcentral's name for it is "eukaryotic LSU rRNA". It matches the Rfam family "Eukaryotic large subunit ribosomal RNA", at positions 86 to 3120 of the family's 3401-position model. The record is from RNAcentral. Lineage: Eukaryota; Metazoa; Arthropoda; Arachnida; Pseudoscorpiones; Withiidae.
ACGGCGAGCGAACGGGGAAGAGUCCAGAGCCGAAUCCCGCGCUUAACGGCGCGGGAAAUGUGGCGUGGGGGAGUCGGCAUCCUCCGAGUGCGGCCGGCGGCGCAAGUUUCUUUGAGAAGGGCCACUUGCCGGAGCGGGUGCUAGUCCCGUACCGCCGCCGGGACGCGCGCGGAGUCGUCGGGUUCCUUGGAGUCGGGUUGCUUGGGAGUGCAGCCCAAAGUGGGUGGUAAACUCCACCUAAGACUAAAUACGACCGAGAGACCGAUAGCAAACAAGUACCGUGAGGGAAAGUUGAAAAGCACUUUGAAGAGAGAGUUCAAUAGUACGUGAAACCGUUCAGAGGGAAACGGGUGGGGCCUCGAAGUCCUAAGCCGGUGGCGUAAUCAGGUCGGUCUGACUCGUCGUCUGCGCGACGUCGGUGCCUCGCGAAUUGGGGCCCGCCGCGCUUUCUAAGAGGAAGCCGCACCGCACUUGCGCAUCCCUGGCUAGCAGGACGUCGCGAUCGGUUGGAAGGCCGUCCGCGGUGCUGUGGAAAGGUAGCCAUCUUUCUUCCUCUUGAGGAUCGACGGUGUUACAGUCUGCAGCGUACGCCGCAGUCGGGUCGUCCGACCGAGGAACAUCACUGCCUCUCGAGAUCAGAGCGGACGCGUCGUCGUCGUCGGAGUUCGGCGCAGGGUGCCACCUUUACGGGUGAGCCCGUCCGCGCUCCUUCGCCGCGGCGCUUUGCCGCGCGAGGCUUUGAGAUCGGCGACGAGUACGUCGGCAUCCCACCCGACCCGUCUUGAAACACGGACCAAGGAGUCCAGUGCGCGCGCGAGUCCCCGGGACUUGACCAGGCCCGAGGGCGCAAUGAAAGUGAAGGGCGUUUCGGACGCCCGAGUCGGGAUGCCGUAAGAAGCCGCACCGACGGCCCGUCUCACGCGGUUUCGCAGAGGCGGAGCAAGAGCGCGCGCCCUGGGACCCGAAAGAUGGUGACCUAUGCCUGGACAGGACGAAGCCAGAGGAAACUCUGGUGGAGGUCCGUAGCGGUUCUGACGUGCAAAUCGAUCGUCGGAUCUGGGCAUAGCAGCGAAAGACUCAUCGAACCAUCUAGUAGCUGGUUCCCUCCGAAGUUUCCCUCAGGAUAGCUGGCGCUCGUUGAAAACGGUCUCAUCCGGUAAAGCGAAUGAUUAGAGGCCUUGGGGCCGAAACGACCUCAACCUAUUCUCAAACUUUAAAUGGGUGAGAAGUCCGGCUUGCUCGAGUGAAGUCGGACGUUUUUAAGACGAGAGUGCCUAGUGGGCCAUUUUUGGUAAGCAGAACUGGCGAUGCGGGAUGAACCGAACGCCGGGUUACGGCGCCCGAUGCGAGACGCUUAGCAGAACCCAAAAAAGGUGUUGGUUGCUAUAGACAGCAGGACGGUGGCCAUGGAAGUCGGAAUCCGCCAAGGAGUGUGUAACAACUCACCUGCCGAAGCAACUAGCCCUGAAAAUGGAUGGCGCUCCAGCGUCGAGCCCAUACCCGGCCCCUUCCCUAGACGACCUUAAAGGGAAGGGAGUAGGAGGGCGCGGGGGCGGCGCGGAAGGGCAGGGUGCGAACCCGCUCGGAGCCGCCCUCGGUGCAGAUCUUGGUGGUAGUAGCAAAUACUCGAGUGAGAACCUUGAGGACUGGCGUGGAGAAGGGUUCCAUGUGAACAGCAGUUGAACAUGGGUCAGUCGAUCCUAAGGCAAAGGAGAAAUCCGUUGAGACGACGGACUUAUUUACGAAUAAGCGGUUCCGUCUUGUGCCGAAAGGGAAUCGGGUUAAGAUCCCCGAACCUGGACGCGGAGUUGACGCCUCGUGGGGUCAGCGAUGGCACCCUUGGCGUCGUGGCGGCAACGCAAGCGAACUCGGAAACGUCGCCGGGAGCCCUGGGGAGAGUUUUCUUUUCUCGUUAAGGGUCCUGCUCCCUGGAAUCGGCUCGCCCGGAGAUAGGGAUGCCCGGCCCCAAGAGCACCGCGUUUCACGCGGUGUCCGGUGCGCUCCCGGCGGCCCUUGAAAAUCCGAGGGAGCGGUUUUUGCUCUCGCGCCAGCUCGUACCCAUAUCCGCAGCAGGUCUCCAAGGUGAGCAGCCUCUAGUCGAUAGAACAAUGUAGGUAAGGGAAGUCGGCAAAACUGAUCCGUAACUUCGGGAGAAGGAUUGGCUCUGAGGGCCGGGCCUGUCGGGCUCGGUCGUCGAAGCGGAAAUGGUGCCCGGAGGGGCUGGGACGCUCUUGGGACUCGCUCCUUGGAAGCCCGGACCCGACGGGAACUUUUCCGUGGAGGCGCCGAGCUGCGACGGCUUGGGGGCUCGCUCUCCCUUGCCGUCUUCGGCAGGCGACUAACGGCCGACUCAGAACUGGCACGGACCCGGGGAAUCCGACUGUCUAAUUAAAACAAAGCAUUGCGACGGCGGUUGGCCCGUGUUGACGCAAUGUGAUUUCUGCCCAGUGCUCUGAAUGUUAAAGUGAAGAAAUUCAACCAAGCUUGGGUAAACGGCAGGGGUAACUAUGACCCUUUUAAGGUAGCCACACGCCUCGUCAUUUAAUUAGUGACGCGCAUGAAUGGAUUAAUGAGAUUCUCACUGUCCCUACCUGCUAUCUAGCGAAACCACAGCCAAGGGAACGGGCUUGGAAAACGUCAGCGGGGAAAGAAGACCCUUUAGAGCUUGACUCUAGUCUGGAUUUGUGAAGAAACAUGAGAGGUGUAGCAUAGGUGGGAGGUUCGCCGACCCUGAAAUACCACUACUUUCAUCGUUUCUUUACUGACUCGGUGCUACGGGGCCCGGUCUACAACGACCCGUCGUCUGGAGUCAAGACCGCCUCUCGUAGGCGGUCGACCCGCUCCGAGGACAGCUUCAGACAGAUAGUUUGACUGGGGCGGUACGUCUGUAAAAAGGUAACGCAGGUGUCCUAAGGCCAGCUCAGUGAGGACGGAAACCUCACGUGGAGCGAAAGGGCAAAAGCUGGCUUGAUCUUGACUUUCAGUAAGAGUACAGACCGUGAAAGCGUGGCCUAUCGAUCCUUUUGACCAUUCGGAGUUUGAAGCAAGAGGUGUCAGAAUAGUUACCUGAGGGAUAACUGGCUUGUGGUAGCUAAGCGUUCAUAGCGACGUUACCGUUUGAUCCUUCGAUGUCGGCUCUCCUUUUCAUUGCGAAGCAGCGUUCGCCAAGCGUUGGAUUGUUCACCCACUAACAAGGAACGUGAGUUGGGUUUAGACCGUCGUUAGACAGGUUAGUUUUACCCUACUGCCAAACUUAUCGUCGCCGUAGUAUUCCUGCUCAGUACGAGAGGAACGGCAGGUACGGAAAAUUGGCACUUGCGCUUGGCCGAGCGGCCAGUGGCGCGACGCUACCCUCCGGGGGAUUACGGC